GGUAAAAUGGCUGAGAAUUAGGCGAUAGAUUGUAAAUUUAUUUAGGAGGAGUAACCUCUUUUACCA
RNAcentral lists this transfer RNA (66 nucleotides) under Isoperla eximia. Its description in RNAcentral is "tRNA-Tyr". It matches the Rfam family "tRNA". From Rfam's summary of the family: Transfer RNA (tRNA) molecules are approximately 80 nucleotides in length. Their secondary structure includes four short double-helical elements and three loops (D, anti-codon, and T loops). Lineage: Eukaryota; Metazoa; Arthropoda; Insecta; Plecoptera; Perlodidae. The record is from RNAcentral.